CUGGCGGCAGGCCUCAUACAUGCAAGUCGAGCGGUCCUUCGGGACAGCGGCGAACGGGUUAGUAACGCGUGGGAACGUGCCCUUUAGUACGGAAUAGCCAUUGGAAACGAUGAUUAAUACCGUAUACGCCCCAAGGGGGAAAGAUUUAUCGCUAAAGGAUCGGCCCGCGUUAGAUUAGGUAGUUGGUAGGGUAAUGGCCUACCAAGCCGACGAUCUAUAGCUGGUUUGAGAGGAUGAUCAGCAACACUGGGACUGAGACACGGCCCAGACUUCUACGGAAGGCAGCAGUAGGGAAUCUUGGACAAUGGGCGAAAGCCUGAUCCAGCCAUGCCGCGUGAGUGAUGAAGGCCCUAGGGUUGUAAAGCUCUUUCGCCAGGGAAGAUAAUGACGGUACCGGUAAAGAAACCCCGGCUAA
Molecule: ribosomal RNA, 415 nt
Filed under: uncultured Alphaproteobacteria bacterium
Lineage: Bacteria; Pseudomonadati; Pseudomonadota; Alphaproteobacteria
Description: bacterial SSU rRNA
Rfam family: Bacterial small subunit ribosomal RNA
Source: RNAcentral